Molecule: ribosomal RNA, 791 nt
Filed under: uncultured Mycobacterium sp.
Lineage: Bacteria; Bacillati; Actinomycetota; Actinomycetes; Mycobacteriales; Mycobacteriaceae
Description: bacterial SSU rRNA
Rfam family: Bacterial small subunit ribosomal RNA
Source: RNAcentral
UGGGCGUAAAGAGCUCGUAGGUGGUUUGUCGCGUUGUUCGUGAAAUCUCACGGCUUAACUGUGAGCGUGCGGGCGAUACGGGCAGACUUGAGUACUGCAGGGGAGACUGGAAUUCCUGGUGUAGCGGUGGAAUGCGCAGAUAUCAGGAGGAACACCGGUGGCGAAGGCGGGUCUCUGGGCAGUAACUGACGCUGAGGAGCGAAAGCGUGGGGAGCGAACAGGAUUAGAUACCCUGGUAGUCCACGCCGUAAACGGUGGGUACUAGGUGUGGGUUUCCUUCCUUGGGAUCCGUGCCGUAGCUAACGCAUUAAGGUACCCCGCCUUGUGAGUACGGCCGCAAGGCUAAAACUCAAAGAAAUUGACGGGGGCCCGCACAAGCGGCGGAGCAUGUGGAUUAAUUCGAUGCAACGCGAAGAACCUUACCUGGGUUUGACAUGCACAGGACGCCGGCAGAGAUGUCGGUUCCCUUGUGGCCUGUGUGCAGGUGGUGCAUGGCUGUCGUCAGCUCGUGUCGUGAGAUGUUGGGUUAAGUCCCGCAACGAGCGCAACCCUUGUCUCAUGUUGCCAGCGGGUAAUGCCGGGGACUCGUGAGAGACUGCCGGGGUCAACUCGGAGGAAGGUGGGGAUGACGUCAAGUCAUCAUGCCCCUUAUGUCCAGGGCUUCACACAUGCUACAAUGGCCGGUACAAAGGGCUGCGAUGCCGCGAGGUUAAGCGAAUCCUUUUAAAGCCGGUCUCAGUUCGGAUCGGGGUCUGCAACUCGACCCCGUGAAGUCGGAGUCGCUAGUAAUC